UCAGACUUUCCGGUACUCCUGCUUAUAAAACAUCGAAUUUCUGUAAGCUGUUCUCAUAAAUCCAAAUCGAAAAUGACUUUACUACUACUCAGUUUACAGCUUGUAUUUCUACCAUCUACUAUUUUUCUUAAAAAUGUGAUCUAAUAAUACUUCACUGUGUAGUUUAUUAUGGUAGACAAUUGGACCUCUAAGUCCACCCAGUACCUGAUGUUAAUUGAGGAAAAGUAAAGGAGGUUGGUCAGUAUGAUGGCCACAUGAAACCCUCGUUAACCGUGAGCCAUAGAAACAGAUGGCAUUUACUUCAUCUACCCUAUAGAUCGCAAGGUCUGAAAGGAGAAUUGUACUGUAUUGUAAAUUUUGUUCGGCGUUGUAAUACUCAAUACUUCAAAUACAUCACACAAUAAUGCCACUUCAUAGAAAUCAAAAAGACAUGUAGUGCGAUUGAUUGAUAAUCAAUUCUAAAAAGACUUUUCUAUGAAAGAGAUGGAUGGGAUGUGCUUUGGAACGAGAACUCUGAAAAGAGACGCUCAAUAGCACCUUUAAAAAACUGCGAAUUCCACACCCAUGACUGGGAAAUAUUAGCCCAGGAUCGCUCAUCCUAGCUCUGAGUACUAUGUAUCACUGUUUUAAGCUACGAGACUUCGCCAUCACUAAAAAUCUAAGAGGAUUUAAAAAUAGGACCAAAUAAGAACCAAUAUGGAAAUUGAUCAAAUCUACCCGAUCAAUAGCACCUUAAAAAAACUGCGAAUUCCACACUUAUGACUGGGAAAUAUUAGCCCAGGAUCGCUCAUCCUAGCUCUGAGUACUAUGUAUCACAGUUUUAAGCUACGAGACUUCGCCAUCACUAAAAAUCUAAGAGGAUUUAAAAAUAGGACCAAAAUAAGAAGCAAUAUGGAAAUUGAUCAAAUCUACCCGAUCAUCGGGUGUAGUAGGCUUAUCAAUGACAAGAUUGGCUACAU
Biomphalaria glabrata is the source of this 959-nucleotide long non-coding RNA. RefSeq lists it as uncharacterized. The transcript is spliced from 3 exons. Lineage: Eukaryota; Metazoa; Mollusca; Gastropoda; Planorbidae. The record is from RefSeq and is a predicted model, not a curated record.